This 484-nucleotide ribosomal RNA is filed under the name uncultured bacterium. RNAcentral's name for it is "partial 16S ribosomal RNA". It matches the Rfam family "Bacterial small subunit ribosomal RNA", at positions 30 to 507 of the family's 1533-position model. The record is from RNAcentral.
AUUGAACGCUGGCGGCAGGCCUAACACAUGCAAGUCGAGCGGAAGAAGGGCGCUUGCUCCUGGCUUCAGCGGCACGCGGGUGUGUAAUGCCUAGGAGUCUGCCUGGUAGUGGGGGAUCACGUCCGGAGACGGGCGCUAACACCGCAUGCGCUAUGAGUGAGAACGUGGGGGCUCUUCGCACCUCACGCUUUCAGCUGCGCCUAGGUCGGAUUAGCUAGUUGGUGGGAUAAAGGCCUACCAAGGCGACGAUCCGUAACUGGUCUGAGAGGAUGAUCAGUCACACUGGAACUGAGACACGGCCCAGACUCCUACGGGAGGCAGCAGUGGGGAAUUUUGGACAAUGGGCGAAAGCCUGAUCCAGCAAUGCCGCGUGUAGGAUGAAGGGCUUCGGAUUGUAAAGUGCUUUUAGUUGGGACGAAGGGGAUUAAGUUAAUACCUGGCGGUCUUGACGGUACCAACAGAAUAAGCACCGGCUAACUUCGUG